RNAcentral lists this ribosomal RNA (608 nucleotides) under uncultured bacterium. Its description in RNAcentral is "bacterial SSU rRNA". It matches the Rfam family "Bacterial small subunit ribosomal RNA", at positions 338 to 1414 of the family's 1533-position model. The record is from RNAcentral.
CCUACGGGAGGCAGCAGUGGGGAAUCUUGCGCAAUGGGCGAAAGCCUGACGCAGCAACGCCGCGUGCGGGAAGAAGGCUUUCGGGCUGUAAACCGCUUUCAGCAGGAACGAAAAUGACGGUACCUGCAGAAGAAGGAGCGGCCAACUAUGUGCCAGCAGCCGCGGUGAUACAUAGGCUUCAAGCGUUGUCCGGAUUUAUUGGGCGUAAAGAGUUCGUAGGCGGUCGAGUAAGUCGGGUGUGAAAAUUCUGGGCUCAACCCAGAGACGCCACCCGAUACUGCUUGACUUGAGUUCGAUAGGGGAGUGGGGAAUUCCUAGUGUAGCGGUGAAAUGCGCAGAUAUUAGGAGGAACACCGGUGGCGAAGGCGCCACUCUGGAUCGAUACUGACGCUGAGGAACGAAAGCAUGGGUAGCAAACAGGAUUAGAUACCCUGGUAGUCCAUGCCGUAAACGGUGGGCACUAGGUGUGGGUUUCUAUUAACGAAAUCCGCGCCGUCGCUAACGCAUUAAGUGCCCCGCCUGGGGGAGGUACGGUCGCGAGACGUAAACUACAANAGUAAGUAGUACGGCGUUGUAGACGUUGCCGACGGCGACGACGAGGGAGGAGG